Molecule: ribosomal RNA, 371 nt
Filed under: Rastrelliger kanagurta (Indian mackerel)
Lineage: Eukaryota; Metazoa; Chordata; Actinopteri; Scombriformes; Scombridae
Description: partial 12S ribosomal RNA
Rfam family: Bacterial small subunit ribosomal RNA
Source: RNAcentral
UCACCCUCCCUUGUUUUUCCCGCCUAUAUACCACCGUCGUCAGCUCACCCUGUGAAGGCCCAAUAGUAAGCAGAAUUGGCACAGCCCAAAACGUCAGGUCGAGGUGUAGCGCAUGAGAGGGGAAGAAGUGGGCUACAUUCGCUAACAUAGCGAAUCACGGAUGAUGAACUGAAACAUUCAUCUUUAAGGAGGAUUUAGCAGUAAGUGGGAAAUAGAGUGUCCCACUGAAACCGGCUCUGAAGUGCGUACACACCGCCCGUCACUCUCUCCAAGCUGCCUGACAUUUAAUAUAAUUAAUCAGAACUUCAAACUGCUAAGGGGAGGCAAGUCGUAACAUGGUAAGUGUACCGGAAGGUGCACUUGGAAAAAAU